AAAACCCUAACGGGGUCACGAAGAGUCAGAAAUGACUGAGACAACUGAACAACAACAAAAUAGGCCCAAUGAUGUCUAUUUCACAACAGUGAGAAUCAAAUGAUUUCAGGUUCUGAGGCUUCGAUGGGUGUGUGGGGUUUCACGUCUAGAAGCCUUCUUCCCCCACUGGGGGCUGCCCUUGGUUGAAGGCAAUGGGAGCAGAACACUGAGGCUGCUUGCUGUUGGCAUCCAUUCUCCUCUUCCCUUUAUUUAAGAAGUUGGUGGAGAGAAUGUUAAUAAUGCCGAUUAAUCUUAAAAGUGUGUUUACAUGCAUUCUUGGAGAGCUGGUUGUUAAACAUCCACCACCAAACUACUGCACCUGAGGAAAUGGAAUGGAAUAUUAUUGUGCCAUAAGAAAUCAUGAAAGGGAUGGAGCCAAAGCUGCCUCAGAAGACCUGUAAGAACUGAUACGGAUACUUCUUUUAACUUUCUUUAUUUUUCUUGGGUUUUUAUUUUGGUCUAUGUUUUCUUUUAUAACAUGACUAAU
This is a non-coding RNA of Phascolarctos cinereus (koala), 526 nucleotides long. Lineage: Eukaryota; Metazoa; Chordata; Mammalia; Diprotodontia; Phascolarctidae. The record is from RefSeq and is a predicted model, not a curated record.